RNAcentral lists this unclassified non-coding RNA (142 nucleotides) under Monilinia azaleae. RNAcentral describes it as "ITS 2". Lineage: Eukaryota; Fungi; Ascomycota; Leotiomycetes; Helotiales; Sclerotiniaceae. The record is from RNAcentral.
CAACCCUCAAGCGCAGCUUGGUACUGAGCCCGUGUCAGCGAUGGCAGGCUCCAAAAUCAGUGGCGGCGCCGCUGGGCCCUGAACGUAGUCACAUCUCUCGUUACAGGCGCUCGGCGCGCUUCUGCCAAAACCCCAACCCUCC